UACGUAGGGUGCGAGCGUUAAUCGGAAUUACUGGGCGUAAAGUGUGCGCAGGCGGCCGCGCAAGUCGAGUGUGAAAGCCCCGAGCUUAACUUGGGAAUUGCGCUCGAAACUACGUGGCUGGAGUGUGGCAGAGGAAGGUGGAAUUCCAGGUGUAGCGGUGAAAUGCGUAGAGAUCUGGAGGAACACCUGCGGCGAAGGCGGGUUGCUGGGCUGACACUGACGCUGAACUGCGAAAGCUAGGGGAGCGAACGGG
This 253-nucleotide ribosomal RNA is filed under the name uncultured bacterium. Its description in RNAcentral is "partial 16S ribosomal RNA". It matches the Rfam family "Bacterial small subunit ribosomal RNA", at positions 524 to 776 of the family's 1533-position model. The record is from RNAcentral.